AGAGCUCCCUUUCCGCACCGCACUCGGCUCCUCUUUAACCGGAGAGUCCGCUGCAGGAGCGAAGAGUCCGUUAGCGGCCGCCGAAUAAUGGGAGCGCAGUCAGGCGCGAAGGUCGCCAUGGCAACGGAGAAUUUCGAAACCCUCCACCUUUUUUUAGAGUUAUUUAUGCAACGGUGCGUCACAAUGACAUACCCCGCCCCUUACGAACAGACCACGCCCCCUCCAUCUGCGUUUCCCUCCCGCUGAGGAGGAGGACGUAAUAGAAGAAGGUACUGAAAGGCUCUUUGGGGGUAGCAGGAGACUGAAGGGCCUUUUCUCCAUUCAUAAGACCAUUUGAUUACAAAAUGCCACCCAGGGUCACCCUCCUAACUUCCUUGUGGGAUGUAACCCAACUGCUAAAGCGCUGCUGAACUUAAUGUGACCAAAGCCAUCUGUGAACCUGACCCAACCAGCCAAGCAACCGCCACCCUAAACAAGAGGCACAACUGUAAGCAGCUUUGUCCAGCAGACCUCGCCAAAGAGCUGAUAUGCAGAGGAGUUUUGGUGUGAGAGAUCCCAAGCUUGGCUGGAUUUGUUCUGUAAAUGUUUCCUUUGGUACAAUGAAGUUGCUGAAGCCUCAAAUCCCCCAGUGCCUCAGAGAAAGCACUGCUCUGGAGUGAAGUAUGAAUUUUGACACCUCAGCUUUGCAUUGAGCUUUUUCAGAAGAAAAACCAAGGGAAAAAUAAACGUCAUAAGUUCUCACUAUACAGUUAAAAAAAUUCUCAUGAACUUUCACACUCAUUGGAAUGUCUUGGUGUCUCUUGGCUUGAAAGUUUUUGGAACAUUAAAAGUCAUUAAAAGAGCUAACUCACUGAUUCUGCUCCACAAAAACCCAUUUGUUUAAAGCACUGUUGGUAUCGGAAAAGAGAUAUAAUGAACUGAUUGUCAGUCUCUCGCCAAAAGAAUACUAAUGACGGUCUGAACUUUGGAGUGAAUUGGAAAUGACUGCAAUUUGGCCUGAGUGAUACUACCCCUUUAAAAAGAUGGCUGCAAUUUCCGUCUUCACACUCUCCCCACAAAGGCUGCUAAUGGCUUCAGGCAUUCGACACUCUCUCAGUGUAACCUGCUACACAGCUAAUGGAGUUCUGAGGCCUGGUGAUGUGUCAAUGCGCUACUCUUCCAGAGUGCUUGAGUUAAUUUUCUUAACUAAACAGCGUGGUAAAGUAAUAAAAUGUACAUCACCAGUUCACUGGUCACACCAAGGAAGAAUCUUCUGACCGAUCAUCCUUAAAGUACAGUCUGCUCUGCAAACAAAUUUACACAAAACAAACCCAUUUCCAUGUUUGAGCAGGGCUAGUAAUUUGUAAGUGAUCUGGUUGGUUCAUACUGGAAAAAGUAUCUGUUUAUGUUUACAUUAGUGCCACAUGACUGGCACUUCACUGAAUAACAAUAACAGCACAGUGCACACGUCUAUGAGCAGAAUCUGUUAACCUAUUAAUGCCAUUAAAACAACAAUAAUAAAUAUUAGGACACUUUGUAUACAUUGAGUGCAAAAGCAUUUCAUGUUGAAAUUUCACCAUACUGUUCGCGCCAUGCAAAAAAAUAAACAGGCAGAAUGUCUUCACAUGUAAAAAGGCAAACAGGGACACAGAUAGGCUACUUUUCAUUUGGGCAAAGUGAAAGCAGCAUGGAGAGCUUCAUCGCUUCACAUAUAGCUGAAUAUCUGAGCACAUGUAGCUCGGAUAUUUAUAGCCCAGUUUGAGCUGCUUUUACAGAUGCCAUCAUCAUUCAUGACAAAACAUAGGGUAGACUGAUCCUUUUGAUUUUGGUCAGAAAGUUCUAGUUGCUGGGACACAGCUCAUCAGUCAUCUUGGUUGUCCCCCCAUGCCAACGUCAGAAGUGACAGGUCAGUGAGUUCAUGGCUGCGUCCAGAAACUUUUGCUUUGCUUUUGCUUCUGAGAAUGAGCAGUAACGUUUGUUUGGUGUGCCUGAUAUCAUCAAAUACACACAUGCUCGAAUGAACUUACUAUGGUCUGACUACAUCGCAUAAAUAAAUCCCACUCUAUGUAAA
Molecule: long non-coding RNA, 2050 nt
Organism: Pygocentrus nattereri (red-bellied piranha)
Lineage: Eukaryota; Metazoa; Chordata; Actinopteri; Characiformes; Serrasalmidae
Exons: 2
Source: RefSeq, a predicted model, not a curated record